RNAcentral lists this ribosomal RNA (78 nucleotides) under Caerostris darwini. Lineage: Eukaryota; Metazoa; Arthropoda; Arachnida; Araneae; Araneidae. The record is from RNAcentral.
UUAGAUCACCGAAGUCAAGCAUCAUUGGGCGCGGUCAGUACUUGGGUAGGUGACCACCUGGGAACACCGCGUGCCGUU